GUCCACGCUGUAAACGAUGGAUGCUAGCUGUUACGAGUAUCGAACCUUGUAGUAGCGAAGCUAACGCGUUAAGCAUCCAGCCUGUGGAGUACGAGCGCAAGCUUAAAACAUAAAGGAAUUGACGGGGACCCGCACAAGCGGUGGAGCGUGUUGUUUAAUUCGAUGGUAAGCGAAGAACCUUACACAGGUUUGACAUCCUUGGAAUUUCUCCGAAAGGAGAAAGUGCUUUAUUGAACCAAGUGACAGGUGUUGCAUGGCCGUCGU
Molecule: ribosomal RNA, 264 nt
Filed under: uncultured bacterium
Lineage: Bacteria
Description: partial 16S ribosomal RNA
Rfam family: Bacterial small subunit ribosomal RNA
Source: RNAcentral